GAGGGUAUAGCUCAAGUGGUAAAGCGCAUGCUUAGUAUGAGCGAGGUCCUGGGUUCGAUGCCCAGUACCUCCU
Molecule: transfer RNA, 73 nt
Filed under: Camelus bactrianus (Bactrian camel)
Lineage: Eukaryota; Metazoa; Chordata; Mammalia; Artiodactyla; Camelidae
Also listed under: 2 other names
Rfam family: tRNA
About the family: Transfer RNA (tRNA) molecules are approximately 80 nucleotides in length. Their secondary structure includes four short double-helical elements and three loops (D, anti-codon, and T loops). Further hydrogen bonds mediate the characteristic L-shaped molecular structure. tRNAs have two regions of fundamental functional importance: the anti-codon, which is responsible for specific mRNA codon recognition, and the 3' end, to which the tRNAs corresponding amino acid is attached (by aminoacyl-tRNA synthetases). tRNAs cope with the degeneracy of the genetic code in two manners: having more than one tRNA (with a specific anti-codon) for a particular amino acid; and 'wobble' base-pairing, i.e. permitting non-standard base-pairing at the 3rd anti-codon position.
Source: Rfam by way of RNAcentral